GACGAACGCUGGCGGCGUGCCUAAUACAUGCAAGUCGAGCGAACAGACGAGGAGCUUGCUCCACUUACGUUAGCGGCGGACGGGUGAGUAACACGUGGAUAACCUACCUUUAAGACUGGGAUAACUUCGGGAAACCGGAGCUAAUACCGGAUAAAAUAUUGAAACACAUGGUUUAAUAGUGAAAGACGGUUUUGCUGUCCCCUAUAGAUAUAUCCGCGCCGCUUUGGCUAGUUGGUAAGGUAACGCCUUACCAAGGCGACGUUGCGUAGCCGACCUGGGAGGUGGAUCGGCCAAACUGGAACUGAGACACGGUCAAGACUCCUACGGGAGGCAGCAGUAGGGAAUCUUCCGCAAAGGGCGAAGUCUGGACGGGGCAACGCCGCGUGGGUGAUGAAGGUCUUCGGAUCGUAAAACUCUGUUAUUAGGGAAGAACAAAUGUGGAAGUAACUAUGCACGUCGUGACGGUACCUAAUCAGAAAGCCACGGCUAACUACGUG
RNAcentral lists this ribosomal RNA (497 nucleotides) under uncultured bacterium. Its description in RNAcentral is "partial 16S ribosomal RNA". It matches the Rfam family "Bacterial small subunit ribosomal RNA", at positions 28 to 507 of the family's 1533-position model. The record is from RNAcentral.